GCGUCCAUAGCUCAGCUGGAUAGAGCGCCGGACUUCGAAUCCGUAGGUCGCAGGUUCGAAUCCUGCUGGGCGUA
Molecule: transfer RNA, 74 nt
Filed under: Spirochaeta isovalerica
Lineage: Bacteria; Pseudomonadati; Spirochaetota; Spirochaetia; Spirochaetales; Spirochaetaceae
Also listed under: 4 other names
Rfam family: tRNA
About the family: Transfer RNA (tRNA) molecules are approximately 80 nucleotides in length. Their secondary structure includes four short double-helical elements and three loops (D, anti-codon, and T loops).
Source: Rfam by way of RNAcentral